UUAUUAGUUCCUCGCAACAGUGUUCAGCUUACUUAGUCAGGUUCGGAAGAAAGCAGCUUGGGUUGAAAUUUCUGUGUGCCGAGGGUUGCUGGUAACGC
This 98-nucleotide signal recognition particle RNA is filed under the name Actinobacillus pleuropneumoniae. Its description in RNAcentral is "signal recognition particle sRNA small type". It matches the Rfam family "Bacterial small signal recognition particle RNA". From Rfam's summary of the family: The signal recognition particle (SRP) is a universally conserved ribonucleoprotein involved in the co-translational targeting of proteins to membranes. The record is from RNAcentral. Lineage: Bacteria; Pseudomonadati; Pseudomonadota; Gammaproteobacteria; Pasteurellales; Pasteurellaceae.